UAGCUGACAAGUGGGAGACUGAUAUUCACGUUGUGGUGAACCAAGCAGGUGACUUGCCUGUCUACAGUAUAAAACCCCUAACGAAAGAGGGCCCAGUCCGCACAGUCCACCGCGAUCUCUUGCUCCCUUGUGGUUUUCUUGCCCCUGUUGAGGAGAAACCUGUCCAACCAACUCAUGUACGCAAACCAAAAACAAGGCAAUCACCUAAACAACAUGAGGAAUGUGAUCAUUCGGAACUGGAGGAUGAGGAUGUCUGUUGGUUCAGAGAGGAACCUAUUCAAGAGCCCAUAAAGGUCACUCGAGUCUAUGAGAUUCCCCAGCCAAAGACACACCCUAAUGAUCACAAUAUUGCUGACACUCACUUUCCUGGAGGAGACAACUUACAUGAACAUGACAACUUGCCUGGACGUGACAAUUUAACCGGAUGUGACAACUUACCUGAAAGUGGAAAUCCACUUGGAUGUGGAAGCCUAGAGGAGAGUGAAACCAUGGUGGAACACUCAAACACCGACAAUGAAAGCGAGAGUGACUCUAACUUACCCGAUGGACCUACCUGUGAUGGGCCAGUGGAAGAAGACAACUCAAGUGAUAAUCAAGCCAACUCAAGUCAGUCAAAUACUGAGAGUGAAGCCGCAGCGGCUGUAAGGCGCUCAGAGAGAACAAGAACCCAACCAGAACGACUACAAUAUAGUCAGUUGGGAAAUCCCCUCGUUUCCAUUGCUCAGUCCCUGUUUCAAGGUCUAAGCCUGGCUUUUACCAAUGCCUUGACAGAACAAGAUUCUGUGGUCAUCCCCAUUAAUGCGGGUUCCCCUGUCAUUACUGUUUAGCUAUCCCAUGCAAAGGGACUUGCAUGAUUCUAAGGGGGGAUAGUGUAACCCAGUGUUAAAAACGGGAUUAAAAGCAUAAAUAUGAAUACUCUUUUGAUUAAAAUGCUAAUUUCAUAAUGGUAAUAAAUAUUGAUAAAAAGAACUUAAAUAUAAUAAAUACUGAUAAAAAAGCGUGUAAACAUAAGUUUAAUUAAUAUGUACGUAUGUAUAUGUAAUAUAUAGAUGGUGUGGGGGCAGGACUUAGUUCUGUGGAGUGUGUUUGUUAGAUCCACUGAGCGACCAAUCAUUGGCGGUCUGACCCCUCCCCAG
Long non-coding RNA from Oreochromis aureus, 1136 nucleotides. NCBI's taxonomy places the organism in Eukaryota, Metazoa, Chordata, Actinopteri, Cichliformes, Cichlidae. The record is from Ensembl.